AUUUAAAUAAACAAUCAUUUUACAUAGAAUUUAGUGGAUGUUCAAAUCAAUUAUUGAGUCUAAGUGAUGCCAGGAAAUAUAUGCAUUCGAAGGACAGUCUGUCACAGACGAAGUCCAGUAUUGAUACUACGAUUCAUUCAUUCGAGGAUGCUGCCAUUUGUUAAAUACAUUGAUAAAAAAGAGAUAAAUGUUAGAUGGAUUAUGAUUCUUUUAGAGGGGACUUUGUUUUAAAAAACAAUGGACUAUAAACCAGAAAUUUGCAUCGUUCGUCUAUUCCUCACUUAUAACUCUUGUCGUAGUUUGUUCCGGAAAACCGUGUUAGACUGUUAGAGCUCCACAGCAACUUUUUCACAUAAAAUUUCAAAACGCUUACAAAUCUUAAGACCAUCAAGAACAAAAUAUCUGUCUAAAAUAAAAGAUCAAUUCACACCCACUUAAACAGAUUAUAACCCACGAAGUACAACUUAUAAUGAACUCUUAUAGAAGCAG
This 489-nucleotide long non-coding RNA is filed under the name Mytilus galloprovincialis (Mediterranean mussel). Lineage: Eukaryota; Metazoa; Mollusca; Bivalvia; Mytilida; Mytilidae. The record is from RNAcentral.